UCCCAAGGGUUGGGCUGUUCGCCCAUUAAAGCGGUACGUGAGCUGGGUUUAGAACGUCGUGAGACAGUUCGGUCUCUAUCUGUCGCGGGCGGAGGAGGGUUGACGGGAGCUGCCCCUAGUACGAGAGGACCGGGGUGGACGCACCUCUAGUGUGCGAGCUGUGCCGCCAGGUGCAUCGCUCGGUAGCUAUGUGCGGCAGAGAUAAGCGCUGAAGGCAUCUAAGCGCGAAACUCGCCUGAAGAUGAGCCCUCCCGGGCCGCAAGGCCCCUGAAGGCCCCUGGGAGAUGACCAGGUAGAUAGGCCGGGGGUGGACGCGCCGAGAGGCGUGCAGCUGACCGGUACUAAUCGGCCGUGCGGCUUGACCAC
RNAcentral lists this ribosomal RNA (366 nucleotides) under Candidatus Rokuibacteriota bacterium. Its description in RNAcentral is "partial 23S ribosomal RNA". It matches the Rfam family "Bacterial large subunit ribosomal RNA", at positions 2563 to 2925 of the family's 2925-position model. The record is from RNAcentral. Lineage: Bacteria; Candidatus Rokuibacteriota.